UAGUUGCCAUCAUUAAGUUGGGCACUCUAAGUUGACUGCCGGUGACAAACCGGAGGAAGGUGGGGAUGACGUCAAAUCAUCAUGCCCCUUAUGAUUUGGGCUACACACGUGCUACAAUGGACAAUACAAAGGGCAGCGAAACCGCGAGGUCAAGCAAAUCCCAUAAAGUUGUUCUCAGUUCGGAUUGUAGUCUGCAACUCGACUACAUGAAGCUGGAAUCGCUAGUAAUCGUAGAUCAGCAUGCUACGGUGAAUACGUUCCCGGGUCUUGUACACACCGCCCGUCACACCACGAGAGUUUGUAACACCCGAAGCCGGUGGAGUAACCUUUUAGGAGCUAGCCGUCGAAGGUGGGACAAAUGAUUGGGGUGAAGUCGUAACAAGGUAGCCGUAUCGGAAGGUGCGGCUGGAUCACCUCCUUUCUAAGGA
Molecule: ribosomal RNA, 428 nt
Filed under: Staphylococcus aureus
Lineage: Bacteria; Bacillati; Bacillota; Bacilli; Caryophanales; Staphylococcaceae
Description: bacterial SSU rRNA
Rfam family: Bacterial small subunit ribosomal RNA
Source: RNAcentral